CCUACGGGAGGCAGCAGUGAGGAAUAUUGGUCAAUGGCCGUAAGGCUGAACCAGCCAAGUCGCGUGAAGGAAGAAGGAUCUAUGGUUUGUAAACUUCUUUUAUAUGGGAAUAAAGGUAUCCACGUGUGGAUAUUUGCAUGUACCCUAUGAAUAAGCAUCGGCUAACUCCGUGCCAGCAGCCGCGGUAAUACGGAGGAUGCGAGCGUUAUCCGGAUUUAUUGGGUUUAAAGGGUGCGUAGGUUGUUUUUUAAGUCAGCGGUGAAAGUUUGUGGCUCAACCAUAAAAUUGCCGUUGAAACUGGAAGACGUGAGUGUGUUUGAGGUAGGCGGAAUGCGUGGUGUAGCGGUGAAAUGCAUAGAUAUCACGCAGAACUCCGAUUGCGAAGGCAGCUUACUAAGCCAUAACUGACACUGAAGCACGAAAGCGUGGGGAUCAAACAGGAUUAGAUACCCGAGUAGUC
RNAcentral lists this ribosomal RNA (460 nucleotides) under uncultured bacterium. RNAcentral describes it as "partial 16S ribosomal RNA". It matches the Rfam family "Bacterial small subunit ribosomal RNA", at positions 338 to 795 of the family's 1533-position model. The record is from RNAcentral.